GAGAAGAGUCGUGAGACAUAGAAAUUGCUAACUAUCUACUGCUAUGGUUUAAAUCCAUAGUCUACUCA
This 68-nucleotide transfer RNA is filed under the name Paradactylodon persicus (Persian mountain salamander). RNAcentral's name for it is "tRNA-Ser". The record is from RNAcentral. Lineage: Eukaryota; Metazoa; Chordata; Amphibia; Caudata; Hynobiidae.